Molecule: ribosomal RNA, 765 nt
Filed under: Triticum aestivum (bread wheat)
Lineage: Eukaryota; Viridiplantae; Streptophyta; Magnoliopsida; Poales; Poaceae
Description: partial small subunit ribosomal RNA
Source: RNAcentral
AUGAGUUGCAUAAGUUGGAACUGUCGGGGGCUUGGGAACCCCGAGGCAGUUCCAGAGCUUCGCAAUGUGGGGAAGCAAGAAGGGCCCGUGCUGGUUUUUGUCAUGGAGACGAAGAUCAGAGCAAAGAAAGUGGAGGAUCUGCGGCACACAUUAGGGUUUGCCGGCAGUUUUGCAGUUGAUAGCGAUGGCCUCAGUGGAGGCAUCGGUCUACUCUGGUCCAAUGAUGUGCAUGUAGAGCUCAAAAACUAUAGCGCUAGUCAUAUUGAUGUGAUAGUGCGGGAAACAUCAGCGGACUCAGCAGGUUGGCGAUUCACAGGGUUCUACGGAGCACCAAGAGCAACAGAUCGUCACCAUAGUUGGAGAUUCCUUCGAGCCCUACAUGGCAUUCCUCAUGAUUUAUGGCUUUGUGUCGGGGACUUCAAUGAAACCCUAUAUCCCCAAGAACACUUUAGUCGCUCCCCUCGGGCCGAGUGGAAGAUGAGGGCGUUUCGUGAAGUUGCAGAUGACUGUGAGUUCCAAGACCUAGGUUGGUCCAGAGUUGCAUACACAUGGGACAACCAUCAGGCGGGGGACGCAAAUGUCAAAGCCAGGGUUGACAAAGCUUUUGCAAACGAGCAAUUCAGGCAAAGGUUCGAACACACACGAGUUCGACAUGUGUGUGUGGUGGAGUCGGAUCACUGCUUUGUUAUCACAGAGUUUAGGCAUCACGCGCAUACGCAUCGUUCGCCGGGAGCCAGACAAUUUCGUUAUGAAAACGUUUGGUAG